RNAcentral lists this ribosomal RNA (268 nucleotides) under uncultured bacterium. RNAcentral's name for it is "partial 16S ribosomal RNA". It matches the Rfam family "Bacterial small subunit ribosomal RNA", at positions 338 to 622 of the family's 1533-position model. The record is from RNAcentral.
CCUACGGGACGCAGCAGUGGGGAAUAUUGCACAAUGGGGGAAACCCUGAUGCAGCGACGCCGCGUGAGUGAAGAAGUAUUUCGGUAUGUAAAGAUCUAUCAGCAGGAACGAGACAAGACGGUACCCGACUAAGAAGCACCGGCUAACUACGUGCCAGCAGCCGCGGUAAUACGUAGGGGGCAAGCGUUAUCCGGAAUCACUGGGUGUAAAGGGAGCGUAGACGGAUGGGGAAGUCUGAAGGGAAAGGCGGGGGCCCAACCACUGGACU